ACGUAGGACGCGAGCGUUAUCCGGAGUUACUGGGCGUAAAGGGUGGGCAGGCGGCCGUGUCAGAUGGGUGUGAAAUCUCCCGGCUCAACCGGGAGGGGCCACUCGUGACUGCACGGCUGGAGGGCAGCAGAGGCGCGUGGAAUUCCGGGUGGAGUGGUGAAAUGCGUAGAGAUCCGGAGGAACACCAGAGGCGAAGGCGGCGCGCUGGGCUGCACCUGACGCUGAACCACGAAAGCCAGGGUAGCGAACGGGA
RNAcentral lists this ribosomal RNA (253 nucleotides) under uncultured prokaryote. Its description in RNAcentral is "partial 16S ribosomal RNA". It matches the Rfam family "Bacterial small subunit ribosomal RNA", at positions 525 to 777 of the family's 1533-position model. The record is from RNAcentral.